RNAcentral lists this ribosomal RNA (256 nucleotides) under uncultured bacterium. Its description in RNAcentral is "partial 16S ribosomal RNA". It matches the Rfam family "Bacterial small subunit ribosomal RNA", at positions 524 to 776 of the family's 1533-position model. The record is from RNAcentral.
UACGUAGGGUGCAAGCGUUGUCCGGAAUUAUUGGGCGUAAAAGAGCUCGUAGGCGGUUUGUUGCGUCGGCUGUGAAAUCCCGAGGCUCAACCUCGGGUCUGCAGUCGAUACGAGCAAACUAGAGUGUUGCAGGGGAGACUGGAAUUCCUGGUGUAGCGGUGAAAUGCGCAGAUAUCAGGAGGAACACCGGUGGCGAAGGCGGGUCUCUGGGCAACAACUGACGCUGGAGGAGCGAAAGCCGUGGGGAGCGAACAGG